Molecule: unclassified non-coding RNA, 460 nt
Filed under: Hevea brasiliensis (rubber tree)
Lineage: Eukaryota; Viridiplantae; Streptophyta; Magnoliopsida; Malpighiales; Euphorbiaceae
Source: RNAcentral
GUGGUUCCAGUUUCAGAAUAGUUCCAAGAGCCCCAGCUACACCUUACUAUGGUGUUUUAAAUGUUGGCAUGAAUCAAUAUGGGUCUAGACAAACUCCAAAUGAAGGCCGCAGCAUUGAAAUUUCACCUUUAAGCCAUUCUUCUUACCCAUAUCCUCAGAACGUGGGAAGAUUAUUAAUGGGUCCAUAAAUUUCUUUCAAAUGAAGUGAACAGAGUUCAAUUUUCCUUCUAUUUCAGCUGGUAAAUGACAGAAAGGCUAGAAUCUGAAAUUGGGAAUUUGAGUAGUUCCUAUUAUCGUCUUGGGGCUGAUCUUGGUAUUAGCUUGUUGCAAAUUCUGGUGUUGCCAAUUGUUGUAUUAAUCAACUAUGCGGAUCACAAAACAUUGUACAAAUAUGAAAGUAACACAGGCAAUACGUAAACACUACUGUAAAAUUAGUGCUUGAAAUGGGAUUCAUUGUGGC